Molecule: ribosomal RNA, 164 nt
Filed under: uncultured bacterium
Lineage: Bacteria
Description: partial 16S ribosomal RNA
Rfam family: Bacterial small subunit ribosomal RNA
Source: RNAcentral
UAAUCGCGAAUCAGCAUGUCGCGGUGAAUACGUUCCCGGGCCUUGUACACACCGCCCGUCACACCAUGAGAGUUGGCAAUACCCAACGUACGUGAUCUAACCCGCAAGGGAGGAAGCGUCCUAAGGUAGGGUCAGCGAUUGGGGUGAAGUCGUAACAAGGUAUC